This 468-nucleotide ribosomal RNA is filed under the name uncultured bacterium. RNAcentral describes it as "partial 16S ribosomal RNA". It matches the Rfam family "Bacterial small subunit ribosomal RNA", at positions 28 to 507 of the family's 1533-position model. The record is from RNAcentral.
GACGAACGCUGGCGGCGUGCUUAACACAUGCAAGUCGAACGGAAAGGCCCUGCUUUUGUGGGGUGCUCGAGUGGCGAACGGGUGAGUAACACGUGAGUAACCUGCCCUUGACUUUGGGAUAACUUCAGGAAACUGGGGCUAAUACCGGAUCGGAGCUCCUGCUGCAUGGUGGGGGUUGGAAAGUUUCGGCGGUUGGGGAUGGACUCGCGGCUUAUCAGCUUGUUGGUGGGGUAGUGGCUUACCAAGGCUUUGACGGGUAGCCGGCCUGAGAGGGUGGCCGGCCACAUUGGGACUGAGGUACGGCCCAGACUGCUACGGGAGGCAGCAGUGGGGAAUAUUGCACAAUGGGCGGAAGCCUGAGGCAGCAACGCCGCGUGCGGGAUGACGGCCUUCGGGUUGUAAACCGCUUUCGCCUGUGACGAAGCGUGAGUGACGGUAAUGGGUAAAGAAGCACCGGCUAACUACGUG